This 4951-nucleotide unclassified non-coding RNA is filed under the name Orussus abietinus. Its description in RNAcentral is "kAT8 regulatory NSL complex subunit 2, transcript variant X7". The record is from RNAcentral. Lineage: Eukaryota; Metazoa; Arthropoda; Insecta; Hymenoptera; Orussidae.
UUUGGACUGCUGGAACGAUCUUCCGGCACUCAAGGACGCGCGCGGAAUUUGAAUUGAACGUCUCAAUUACGCGGAGAGUUAUGUUUCGAGUUCCAAAAACAAUGCCUUCGACUGCUCCUACAACCACUUUGAAACAACCACCAAAGGAAUCUCAUACCUGCAUGUAUUCGUCGUAUGAAUGUUCGCAACCUAUCUUGGAAGGAUACUCAUAUUGCGCAAGACACAUCUUGGAAGAUUCUUCCGCUCCCUUCAAGCCUUGCAGUUUUGUUUAUAAUACAAAUGGAAGGAAAUGUCAGAGUCCUGCACCAAAACUUGAUAGGAGAGACUUGGCAUAUUGCCCAGAACAUACAAGGAAAGCUCAACUAGCUCGGAUCAAGUCAACGUCAAGGCAUUCCUUGCCUCAAACACCAGAAAUGCUUUUAUUAAAUCUAAGCCACUAUGUAAAACCCACGGAUUCAAGUGCCGAAGAUACUGAAGAUGAUGAGAACAAAAUCAGAGCAUUGGAUCCUUUUACUGAGAUCGAUGCAUUCAGAGUCAAUGCAAGUGGUUGCGAUGUAUUGGAUUAUGCAAGCUCUUCAGACAGUGACAUCGAACCUACAGUGGUGAAUGAUACAUUGAGAGGAACAUUUUUAGAUGACAGUGACAACGAAAGUUUGCAUAGUGCUCAAGAUGAUCCAUUGAAUAUUCACUUUUUAAGGCACGCUGGAAUCUUCACUGCUGAAGAGGUAAUAUACAUUGCCCGAGAGAAACUCAUUCGUUUGCAAUCCCUGUAUAUCGACCAAUUUCGAAGGCUACAAUAUCUACUCAAAGAGAAGAGACGAAAGUACCUUCAUGCCCUAAAAAAAGAAAAGGAAACUUUAUGUAGUAUACAUGACCAACCAAAGGAAACAGCAAAAGAAAAAAAACUUUAUGAAAAGCUAAAGGCUUUAAAUAGUUAUCACAGACGGAGCGGAGUCGAAGCAGUGCUUUAUCGAAAAUCGCUAGAAAGACGAGCACAGGCAAGUGAUGGGCCAGCUCAAAAACCACCCAGUGUCCCAAAGUGUAUUUUUACCGAAGGUGGGGUGAAAUGUGGUGAAAGGACUUUACCCUCUGCAAAGCACUGUCGAAAGCAUAUCCUCAAGGAUCAAAAUCAAGUGCUAUUCAAAGCUUGCGGAGCAGUUCAUGCAGACAUUGAAUGCCAUGAACCAGUACCAGUAAUCUUUGACUCUUACUGUGUUUACCACAUGAAUUUACCACCUCCACUGAAACUUGAAACCAUGACAUUUGAAGAACCCAAGCCAGUGGGCCAAGAAACGUCAGUGACCGAUAGUCAAUCAAUGGAGAUCGAUGUCGUUGGCGAAGCACAAGAAAUUGAUCCAGAUGAUGAUAUGGCAGGACUUAUGAGGGAAAUGAACGAUGCUGCAAAGAAACCAGCUCUUAAUGAAAGUGUUAACAGUGAAGCCAGCACCGAUACUGCUUUCAGUUUGUCUGCACAGAUGAGUGACAAGGAUGAGCUGGUGUCAGUGUAAUGUGAAAUAGUGUAAACUUUUUCAAUUUUUAACAGUGAUAUGGAUUUAAUUAAUUUAAGUGUUAAACAAAGGUCACAGUGAUAUUUAAAUAAGAUAAUAUUCAGAUUUUUCAAGUAAGUCUGAAUAAUAUCAACUUCAAUUUGGCAGGGGAUAUGAAAACCAUUUUUUUCUUGUCCGCUGCUAUAAUUAUAGACUUAGACAAAUAACGAAGAGAGACCAAAGAUGGUGCAGGUAAUAUUCUUACAAACUAAACCUAAGCAUUUAAAGUCUGUACUACUGAACUACAUCUCAUAAACAAUAUGUCAGACGUUUUCCUCAAAAUGUAUUUUUUUAGAUCUCAAGUUAUCGAUACUGAACUUAUUAAAUGCAUCACAAUAAUUAUUUACAAGUUGGUGUCUAACUUAGCCGAUUUAAUGACCUACUUCUUAAUAUUAACUUGUCAUUGAGUUUCUAAAUACCGGUUUUACUAUUCUUCCAUCUUUAUUAGAGUCUCAAGGUUUCUUCUCUAUGUGCUAACCAUAUAUUAUAAGCAAAUUUUCAAAUCGCCUAUAUAGCAAAAGUAAUCACAUGGUUAAUGAUAGCUGCAAGUUCAAAAUUCAUAUCCCCGUGCAAUAACUGUUUUGCAUUGUUCAUUGGCCUUGCUGUGGUCCGCUGUGAGGCGCAUCGAUAAAUCACUUGCUAGGCUAUUGAUUGUCUUAAAAAAAGUAAGAACUUGUUACUUGAUGAUGAGGAUAAACGUUCCUUAAACACUGUAUACAUUGUUGUUCCAUAUUAGCCCAAUUGUUUCCAGAGGACCAAUUUUGGUUACACUCUUCACACUUGAAGUAUCUAUAAGUUCUGUUUAUCCCUGAUACGGAGUCUUAAAAUCGCAGAUUACUUUUAUUUUCUUUAAAAAAAACCAUUUCUCUCAUCUUUUUCUUCUUCUUUUCGACCAUUUUGAGACAUUUCAAUCAAACACCGGCAGAACUGAACAAACCAGAACUAGUACCCGCAUUACAAAGAGGUUAGAAUGAUUACCAAAUGAAUUGACUGUCAUAUUUAUAAAGAUGCAAGAAAAUGUAUUUUCAUAUUUCAUUAUUACUAAUGGAAAUCGUUCUUUCAUUUAUUUAAUAGAAUUUGCUCCUUUUAAUAUUUAAUUUUUAACUUCUAAUUUUACAGGUGUCAUAUCAUGCUAGUAUUACGUGAAUGUUUAUCACCACACGUUUUAAACAUAAAACUAUGAAAAUGCAAUUUCAGAGCUUUUAUGAAAUUUGAAACGUAAACACAAACAUGUUUUCACGUAAUACCAAUAUGGUAAAACGCAUGAAUUUUGCGCGCUAUUGUUCAUAUUGAUGUUUUACAUCCGUCAUUUCCGGUCAUUUCCACCAUAUUGGAUUUCAGUUCCUACCACUUCCGAGACAGUAUAUAGAUGGCGAGUCAAUUUGAGGGUCCAACUCUAACACGGCAGUGUCCACCCUUGAUUUGUCAUUUGGGAGUUCCCCGGAAUGGCCGGUACACCAGACAAUUAAAAAAAACCGUUAAUACGUACAUAUGCAGUGGUAAUUCUGGUUUGUUCAGUUCUGCCGGCGUCUUACUAAACAUCUCAAAAUGACCACAAAGAAGGAGAAGAAGGAACAGAAAGUUGCGAAAACAGAAGCUGGGACAGAGAAAAAAAUGAUCAAGGAGACAAAGAAUCUGACUCCAUAUCAGGGAUCAAAAAGAACUUUUGGAAUGUUCAAAUGUGAAAAAUGUAAUCGAACUUGGUCCUCUGGAAAUAGUUGGGCUAAUAUGGGACAACAAUGUAUGCAGUGUUUAAAAAAAAUUUAUCCUCAUCAUCAGGUAAUAAGUUAUAUUUUAAAAACAACCAAUAACCAGUGAUCUAACAAUUAAAUUUUAUGAAAUGCAGUUACUCGUGGCCAAUAAGUGCACAAAAUGAAACAUUUUUUACAAGUAUGUAUACAUGGUAAAAAUUUAUUGUUCCUUUAGUUGAAUCAUGUUCUUGGUUUUACCACCAGGGGAUGUAUUCAGCAUUUCAUUACUUUUAUUCAUUUAGUCGGGGUGGUUCCUAACUAAUUCAUAUGAUCAUAAGUAGCCUUUGAUUAUAUAAGUGUGGAUUGUUAGUCAUUUGUAUGUUAUUAUGCAUUGACAGCUCGAAAAGCAAGAUCAACAUGAACUGUGGUGCAAACUACAUUUGGAAUAAUUUUAUCUCUAACAUUUCCAUUAAAAUUCAGAGCGAUAAGAUAUCCCGAAUAUUAUAUCGAAAAUAAUUUUAUUGAGGAGCUGUGGAAUCUUACUUCUAACUGUUAUUCCACAUAUUCUUAAUUCAAUUAUAUUUUGAAAUUCACUUCAAAGCUUUGCAUUGCACGGAGUGAAAGUUAGUUAUUUAUAAAUAAGGUAUCACUUGAUCUGAUAUGAUCAGUUAAUCCCUUACCUUAAAAAAGAAUGUUUGCAUUUUUCUUUCUAUUUUUACGGUGAUAUUUUGUGCUAUGACAGCUUUUAAUCAAGCAGUAGCGGUCCAUUUCCCUUAAUUAAGCGCAAAUCUAUUUUGUUGAGAAUUUAAAUUAGAACUCCGGGGUAUAGCAAAUAGUUAGUUCCUGGUCCAUGAUGGGGCUGAUAUCCUAGCAACCUGUGUGAAUUUGAAAACUAGCAGUCCAUACUUUUAUAGUCAAAGUAAGUAGUUAUUUACUAGAUGCAUGGAACAUGUUAUGUAGCAAAUAGAGGAUUAUACAUGGUUCUUAUUAUCCAAAGAGUUUAUAAAUGUUUAUAAAUAAAUUGGGAAAUAAUUACAUAUUCAUGUUUAUAGGAUAAAUGAUCAAAUCUUAUCUAAACUUAUUAAAAACAAAUUGCUAUCAUUUGUACUCCUUUUGUGCUUGUUAUGUUUUUUUUCCUUUAAUCCUUUCUAGUUGGAAUAUUCUUAGUAAUUGUAUCAAUAUUACGAAAUGUAGUUUAAUUGAUUUUAAUUUGCCCUAUAUGGAAUUACAAUUGUUUGAAGUAAUACGUGGUGAAUGAAUUGAAUGGACUAAUAGCAUGUUUGUAGUUCUCUUAAUCAAUGGUAAAGGGUAAAUAGCUAAUUACAACUUUUGAUUGACAUUGUCAAAUGCAUGAGCUGUACGAUAUGAUUUACUCUAAAUAGAAUUUUUUUGUAAGUGUUUAUAUAGUUUAUUUCUUAGACUUGAAAUUUUCAGCGUAAACCGAUAAAAAACAAAGCAAAAGUUGAGAUUGGAAAAAGACAUCUUGAAGAGUUUUGUGACAUGUGCAAAAAUUUGGGGCAUUCUUGUGUGAACAUUAAACGAAUCCACAAGGCUGGUAAUGAGAAAUAAAUUUUUGGUGUCAAUUCGUAUGUUACAAUAAACAAAGAUGAGAUUUUUAUAUUAUCACAGAGUAUAUUUUUGUCCAUUUCAAUAUUGCUUAGUUCAUAUAUGUAUGUUAUAACGAAAUAAUUGUAUUUGAGAUAUAAACCAUUU